Molecule: ribosomal RNA, 525 nt
Filed under: Psammetichus crassicornis
Lineage: Eukaryota; Metazoa; Arthropoda; Insecta; Coleoptera; Tenebrionidae
Description: partial 16S ribosomal RNA
Rfam family: Bacterial large subunit ribosomal RNA
Source: RNAcentral
CAAAAACAUGUCCUUUUGUUUAUGAUUUAAGGUCUGACCUGCCCAAUGAUUUUUAAAUGGCCGCAGUAUUUUGACUGUGCAAAGGUAGCAUAAUCAUUAGUUUUUUAAAUGGAAGCUGGUAUGAAGGGUUUGAUGAGAAAGUAGCUGUCUCAGUGCGAUUGUAUUAGAAUUUUAAUUUUAAGUUAAAAAGCUUAAAUGUUUUAGAAAGACGAGAAGACCCUAUAGAGUUUAAUUUUUUAUUUAAUAGGUUUUUUUUGGUUUUGAUGUUUUCUUAUUUUUUAAAAAAUUUUGUUGGGGUGAUUUAAAAAUUAGAUUAACUUUUUAUUGAUUUAAUCACUGAUUUGUGAAUUUUUGAUCCUUUAAUUGAGAUUAUAAGAUUAAAUUACCUUAGGGAUAACAGCGUAAUUUUUUUGGAGAGUUCUUAUCGAUAAAGAAGUUUGCGACCUCGAUGUUGGAUUAAAAUUUAAUUUUGGUGUAGAAGCUGGAGUUUUAGGUCUGUUCGACCUUUAAAAUUUUACAUGAUCU